UCCCUAGUAGCUCAGCUGGUAAAGAAUUUGCCUGCCAUGCAGGAGACCCUGGUUCGAUUCCUGGGUCGGGAA
Molecule: transfer RNA, 72 nt
Filed under: Bos taurus (domestic cattle)
Lineage: Eukaryota; Metazoa; Chordata; Mammalia; Artiodactyla; Bovidae
Also listed under: 4 other names
Rfam family: tRNA
About the family: Transfer RNA (tRNA) molecules are approximately 80 nucleotides in length. Their secondary structure includes four short double-helical elements and three loops (D, anti-codon, and T loops).
Source: Rfam by way of RNAcentral